This is a long non-coding RNA of Harpia harpyja (harpy eagle), 1562 nucleotides long. RefSeq lists it as uncharacterized. The transcript is spliced from 3 exons. Lineage: Eukaryota; Metazoa; Chordata; Aves; Accipitriformes; Accipitridae. The record is from RefSeq and is a predicted model, not a curated record.
UCCUAACGUUAGCCUCCAGAGGGCGAAAACCCUUCAAAAAGACGCUGGGAAGAGCUCCAGCCAAGGUGGAGGUGAUCUGCUUGCAAAAUCACAGAAGAAAGACCCGUGAUAAGGAAUUCCCCCCCAAAUCAUGCUUUUUCCGGCCCAUUUCUGUGAUGACGUCUCCAGCCCCCAAACCUGACCACUGCUGGGAAGGUCUGGGAAAUGGGCUGGGUGAGAGAAGAGGAACAUGAACUCCUGACUCAGGGCUUCCUGGAAAGCUUUUGGGAUGAUGAAAUCGGCUGGUGCCUUACGUCAGGUGGGAAGAUUUUCAGUGGCUUGCCCCGGGAGCUGGUUCACAAAGCCAGAAAUCUUGGGCGAUGAAGGAAAGUCCUAAUGCCGCUGGUGCAGACGUUAUGCUCCUUUUCAAUACGAUAUACAAGCAGUUUCCUUGCAAAGCGCUUUAGGAAAGAAGGGGAUCUGCCACUUGCCAAAUUCGGAGGGAGUAGAAAAUCCUGCCAGAUCAGAGCACCCUGGUGUUCUAUCCCUAACUCAGAGCCCAAAGUGAUGUAGAAACGGGUCCCAGGACAGCCAGUAUUAAAGCAAGGGCUGGAUGGUUUUGAGGACAACACAUACAUUGCCGCUUGUUGAAGAAACCCAAUUCUUGGGAAAUACUGAGUGCUCUGAAAAACAGGUCUUUUGCACAUAUCUCCAAAGGAACUCGAAAAGUAAGACCUGGUGGGAAUAUCGUACUCAUGGACAGAGAGGAUAUUGCUGGCUCGCAGCUGAAAAAAAGAAAUAAUGUUGUCGGGGUAUAAUCCUGAUGUGGAUGUGGUCCUGCCUCAUCUGGUAUCACAGCUCACCACGGGCAGAAGCGGAGAAGUUCGAAGAAGGGACGCAGGGAAGAUCAAACAGCUCCGGCAAUGAGAAGCACAGGCGUGGGCGGCUUGUGCCAGCACAGAUGCUGUCCUUAUGCCAGCCCAGUUGGAGAAACACCUGGAAACAGAUCCCCCACGUUCAUCCAUCUGCGUUAUACCAAGCUAAGGUGUCUUCCCUCUGCCUCAGCUGCCUCUUGCAUCCAAUAAAUCCUGAAUUGUUUUUUGCACAGUCCAGCAUUAACAGCACAGAUGGAGCAACUGUACUGGAAUAUGCACGGCUUUUAGUCGAGAGGAAUAAAUUAUAAUGGUACACAGAGGCUUUUUUCUAUGGCUAGGACCAGCAUAAAUAUAUCUUACAAAAAAAAGACCUACUUUUCCACUUGUCUCCUUUGCUAUCCAAAAUAAUCAUCCUGGCCAAAUGCUUGUGCAGAACUGGCUUGGGCUUGCAAAAGAGUUAAAAGCUCCAUCCUUCAAUUUUUAAUUUGCAUGUAUCUGACAUCGAAGGGGCUAAACAUGAGCACUGCAAAGCUCAUGAGUCUUUUUCAUUGCUACUUUUCAGAGUGUUACUGUGUUUUGAAGUGGUUUGUACUGAAGAAGAACGAAUGUCAAAUACAGGGAGCAGUAACAAGCCUGUUGUCAGAGCAAAUCCACCUUCACAGGAUUUCCCAAAUGUUUUGCCUUUAUUCUGCAUUUUGUGUGGAUGCU